AAAUACAUGUACAAAUACAUACAGGUACACAUACUGUACAAAUACAUACAGGUACACAUACUGUACAAAUACAUAAAGGUACACAUACUGCUCAAAUACAUAAAGGUACACAUACUGUACAAAUACAUAAAGGUACACAUACUGUACAAAUACAUACAGGUACACAUACUGCUCAAAUACAUAAAGGUACACAUACUGCUCAAAUACAUAAAGGUACACAUACUGUUCUAUGUAGAUCAUCUAUAUAGCUGCUGUGGGAUCUUGAUUAAAGGCUCAAUACAAUCAAACAGGUCAGGAAACUCUCAGGUGAUUCCAGAUUAGCGGCCAUUUCAAAGGGUGAGCAAUUUCCCCAGUCCCACCCGACCAUCUGCAUACCGCACUGGAACCUUUGAUAUCCCUUGGUUCUUCUAUUCCCUUGGUCCUACCAUCCAACUACACCUGUCUGUCUCACACUCUCUCCUCUUGGUAGACCUGUCUGUCUGUCUCACACUCUCUCCUCUUGGUAGACCUGUCUGUCUGUCUCACACUCUCUCCUCUUGGUAGACCUGUCUGUCUGUCUCACAUUCUCUCCCCUUGGUAGACCUGUCUGUCUGUCUCACAUUCUCUCCCCUUGGUAGACCUGUCUGUCUCACAUUCUCUCCUCUUGGUAGACCUGUCUGUCUGUCUGUCUCACAUUCUCUCCUCUUGGUAGGUCUGUCUGUCUGUCUGUCUCACAUUCUCUCCCCUUGGUAGACCUGUCUGUCUGUCUCACAUUCUCUCCCCUUGGUAGACCUGUCUGUCUGUCUGUCUGUCUCACAUUCUCUCCCCUUGGUAGACCUGUCUGUCUCACAUUCUCUCCUCUUGGUAGACCUGUCUGUCUGUCUCACAUUCUCUCCUCUUGGUAGGUCUGUCUGUCUCUCACAUUCUCUCCCCUUGGUAGACCUGUCUGUCUGUCUGUCUGUCUCACAUUCUCUCCCCUUGGUAGACCUGUCUGUCUGUCUCACAUUCUCUCCCCUUGGUAGACCUGUCUGUCUGUCUCACAUUCUCUCCUCUUGGUAGACCUGUCUGUCUGUCUCAC
Molecule: long non-coding RNA, 1057 nt
Organism: Oncorhynchus tshawytscha (Chinook salmon)
Lineage: Eukaryota; Metazoa; Chordata; Actinopteri; Salmoniformes; Salmonidae
Source: Ensembl